This 494-nucleotide ribosomal RNA is filed under the name uncultured bacterium. RNAcentral describes it as "partial 16S ribosomal RNA". It matches the Rfam family "Bacterial small subunit ribosomal RNA", at positions 29 to 507 of the family's 1533-position model. The record is from RNAcentral.
ACGAACGCUGGCGGCGUGCCUCAUACAUGCAAGUAGAACGCUGAAGGCGGAGCUUGCUUCUCUGGAUGAGUUGCGAACGGGUGAGUAACGCGUAGGUAACCUGCCUGGUAGCGGGGGAUAACUAUUGGAAACGAUAGCUAAUACCGCAUAAUAGUAGAUGUUGCAUGACAUUUGCUUAAAAGGUGCAAUUGCAUCACUACCAGAUGGACCCGCGUUGUAUUAGCUAGUUGGUGGGGUAACGGCUCACCAAGGCGACGAUACAUAGCCGACCUGAGAGGGUGAUCGGCCACACUGGGACUGAGACACGGCCCAGACUCCUACGGGAGGCAGCAGUAGGGAAUCUUCGGCAAUGGACGGAAGUCUGACCGAGCAACGCCGCGUGAGUGAAGAAGGGUUUCGGAUCGUAAAGCUCUGUUGUAAGAGAAGAACGAGUGUGAGAGUGGAAAGUUCACACUGUGACGGUAUCUUACCAGAAAGGGACGGCUAACUACGUG